UUUUAUUAAAUUUAUUCCUAACUACUUAAUACUUGUUGAUACUAUUGUGAAUGGAAUUUUUCUUAGUCUUAUUUUGGGAUUGGCCAUAUUGUGAGCAUACAACAAUACAGUUGAUUUUUUUUUUUUUCUUUCCAUCCAUUCCUUAGGGUUUUCUGCCUAUAAGAUGGUGUCAUUAGUAAACACGGCUUUUAUUUCCUUUUCAAUCUGGGUGACAUUUAUUUCUUCUUCUUGCCUAAUUGCCCUGAUGAGAACCACUAGCACAGUGUUGAAUAGUCAAGUGGCAAGAACAGAUAGCUUUGGGGUGUGGCUGCCUUCCCAGCUGGUUUGCUAGCUGAAGUCUAAGGGCCUGGCUUUUUGAAACCUCUUCCCUGCCUUUGUUUUUGUGUAUUGCUGCUUGACAGGUCUUCUCCAUUUCCCUCCCUUCCUGGGGAUCUGAUGCACGCCUAUCAAUCUCCAGGGUCUUGUGGUUAGCCACCCACACCGCCAGGCUCUGCGGUUCCUGGACUUUGGUAACCGAGCAGCCGGGUGCUUGUCCGGGGCAGUUUUAUUCCAUCGACUGAAGAUUCUCCUCUCUGGCCCCGACUGGCAUCUUCCUCCCGGUUACCACUCGGAUCUCCUGUCAAGGUCACGGUCUUCCCUCUCACCCGUUGGCACUGCCUGAACUCUGAGUCUGCUGUCAUCAACCUCCUUUUGCUCAGAUUCUUUCUGCUCAUCUUCAUCCUUUGUUGCCGCCUUGGCAGUGAUCGCUGAGCCGCUGUCCUGUAGUCGCAGGGCAGCCACGCUCCUUGUCGUGGAGGUGUGCAGGAGGUGUGACCGCCUGGCUCCUGUGGCGGUGGCCACAGCCUCCUCAGCCCCCUCAGCCCCAGUGUGUGGGACGGCGGCUGCCCUGCAUGCUGCCAGCUCCAGACACCAUCAGCCCGCGAACGCGAGCCGCUGCCUGUUGCUGCGACACAGACACAGUUGGCCACCUGCUGCAGUGUAGUGGAGCCUAAGGAUCCAGGCGGUAGCAGAAGCCGGCCAAGCACUCGCUGGGUUGUCCACCUCUUCCUUGAGUUGGUUUCAGUGUUUGUUUUUCUAACAAAUUGUCCCAAAGUUACCCAAUUUGGGAUGUACCGGGGUUUACAGCAUACUCAGUACUUUUUUCAGAUUCUCAUAUUUUCAGUCUCCUCCCUUUAGUGCCCUAGUCAACUGUGUUCAGAGAACCAGCUUUUGGUCACCAUUAAUUUCUUUCUUCCCUUACUGGCUGGUGGGCUGGGGAUCGAACUAGGGCCACACACCUGUUAGGCAGGCGCUCUGCUGCUGAGCUGCAUCCCAGCCCUGGUCUGAUUGAUGUUCUCCAUUGUUUUUCUCAUCUCUAUUUAGUGCAUUUCUGCUCUAUCUGUAUUAUUUCCCUGCCUUCUCACUUUCUUCACCUUUAUUGUGCUUCCUUUUUCAGUAUCUUAAAGUAGAAUACUAGGUGAUCCCUGUGAUGUGACCAAAACAAACAAAACCCUAGAUUUUGAAGGCUUGGUAUUUAAACUAUCUCACUAUUACAUACUGAUUAUAAUUCAUUGCACUUUAUACUUUUUACUGUGGAUACUCUGAGUCAGGAUUUCUUGUGUGCUUUGUAUUGGGCUUCUGUGGGGUGCUGGGCUAAGUUGUAUAGUAGGUACAGAAAGGAUGAGCUGAGCCAGAUCAGGUAGAGUGGCUGUCCCUGUUUAGAGUCUCAUGUUGGAGAGAGAAUUCCUCUCACCACUGCCAGCUGCAGUGAAAUUCAUUCACGGGCUUUUCUCUCCAGGCUAUUACCGGACUGAGACUG
This 1798-nucleotide long non-coding RNA is filed under the name Marmota monax (woodchuck). Lineage: Eukaryota; Metazoa; Chordata; Mammalia; Rodentia; Sciuridae. The record is from RNAcentral.